This 256-nucleotide long non-coding RNA is filed under the name Gossypium raimondii (Peruvian cotton). RNAcentral describes it as "long non-coding RNA (GRAI_LNC004949)". The record is from RNAcentral. Lineage: Eukaryota; Viridiplantae; Streptophyta; Magnoliopsida; Malvales; Malvaceae.
CCACAUGGCGGUCGUCGACGUUACGUGCUGGAUUCCUUCUUUGUCCAGCUUCCAGCAGGGGUUGUGGUUGCUCCGGUGGGGAUUCUGAUUCAUCCGGUUGGGGAUCUAGUUGUCGGUGUUGGGACGAUGAGCCACCUUGAUAGAAUAGUGAAUGUGGAGGUGUUUGCAUCACCAACGACGAAGGUGUUUGAAACCCAUACGGUGAUGGCGUUUAGUAAAAAGAAGAGUUUUUUGACGGCCCCUCUUGCAAUCCCUC